AUGAGACGGAGUCUAGCCCUUGUCGCCCAGGCUGGAGUGCAGUGGCACGAUCUCGGCUCACUGCAACCUCCGCCUCCCGGUUUCGAGCGAUUCUCCUGCCUCAGCCUCCCUAGUAGCUGGGAUUACAGGCACCUGCCACCACACCUGGCUAAUUUUUGUGUUGUUAGUAGAGACGGGGUUUCACCAUGUUGGCCAGGCUGGUAUGGAACUCCUGACCUCAGGUAAUCCACCCGCCUCGGCCUCCUAAAGUGGUGGGGUUACACGUAUGAGCCACCGCGCCCGGCCUCAAGUCUUAAUCAUUCUUUUUCUGUCCUUUAAAGGAGACGUGUCUUUAGGAAGCAGAGAGGGUUCGAUUCUGGACUCCGCCCAUGACUCACUUCUCUUGUAAAGAAAGAGUUGUCCUUCCUGGUACUCCAGGUACCCUACUGUUUUCUUAUGGACUUUGCCCUUAACGAGUCUCCUUUCCUUCUGUUACUCUCAACCUUUCCUUCUCUACCGGCUCUUUCUUACUGGUAUUUAAACAUGCUUAAGUCUUUCAAUUCUUUAAAAAGAUUUCUCUUCUCCCUAAAUUGCUCUCCAACAACUGCAGCUGUCUCUUACCCCAUGGACAGUCUUUCAUGUCCCACCUCCCAGCCCUCUCCAGUGUCCCCACCGCUCACCUGAAGUGGCUCUGAAUUGUCCACAGACAAGCUUCAUGACUGUAAAUGCAGCGGAUCAUUUUCAGUCCUCAUUUUACAAGCCCUCAUCCCAGUAUUUGACGCGAUUGACCACAGUUGCUUCCAAAUACCCUCUUCCCUCUGGUCUUAUGUCCCAGGUUUCCUCCCUACCUGAGUUUGCUCUUUAACAACCAGCUCCUCCUUGAUCUACCUCUUACACAUUGGAAUCAUGCUGAGCUGAACCCUGGCCCUCUUACUGAGUCUCCCCAUACACUUUCCUAGGUGGUCUUAUGCUCUCCCAGCAGCAUCAAAUACCCUCUGUCAAAGACUCUUCAAUCCAUAACUCAAGCCUAGAUCUUGCUCUGGAAUCCUACAUUCAUAGUUCCCAGCAUACUGCCUUUGGUACACUUUCAUUUGGAUGACUUAGGGCAUUUCAAACUCAACCCGUAUAUCAUAAUUCCUUCAAAACGCUCCUCCCAUAGUCCCUGGUUCAGUAAAGGGUAUCUUAACAUCUACCCAGUUCAUGCCAGAAACCUAGCACACCUCCAACACACAGCAGAAUCACCUACAUCUGUCUGCUCCCUGGAAAAUUGGAUUUGUGACCUCUCUCUGUUCCCAUGACCAUUUUUUCAUUCCCAUUCUAGUCUAAACCACUGUUGCCUCUUGCUUGAAGUCCCACAGUAACCCAUUCAGGUCCUCCAAAACUGCUCUUGCCUCGUUCCAAUACAUUUGCCAUACUGCUGCCAGAGUAAUUUUUUAAAUAUAAAUCUGAUCAUUGACCUGCUUAAAUUCCUCCAGUGGUCUCCCUUUGCUUACCACACAUUGUCUAAGCUCCAUUAUCUGUACUUGUCUUUCUCUCCAGCCUCUCCAUCUGUCCCCCUAGCUGCCUGCACUCCUGCCAUAGUAUUUUAAUUUUUUCCAGGCUCUCCUCUUUUUAUUCCCUACUGUAGGCUCUCACUUCAGGGCAUUUACACAUGCCCUUCCCUUCCCCUGGAAUUUUUUUCUGUCACCCAUUCCUCCUACUUAACUGUAACUUAUCACUUUCUUUUCCAAUUCCUACUUCUCAUUAUUUGUUUAGUGUCCAUGUAAUUGUGCAGGUAAGGACCACGUCUGUCUUGUUCACUACCAGCUUUUCCUCUCCCUAGCAACAGCACAAUGUCUAGAAUAUAGUGGUACUUGUUAGGUAUUUAUCGAAUAAAUAGUGAAUUUCUGAGUGGUCCCGGGCAAAGUUUUCUCAACAUUUGAAUUCAAAUCCUGGCUCUCAGUGAGUUCAGGUUGCCGUAGUAAAGUACCAUAUAGACUGGUGGCUUAUAAACAACAGAAAUGUAUUUCUCAUAGCUCUGGAGGCUGGAUAUCUGAAAUCAGGCUGCCAACAUGGUCAGGUUCUGGUGAAGGCCCUCUUCAGGGUUGUAGAUGGCUGUUUUUUCCCUUUACCUCACAAUGCAGAAAGAGAGCAAGAGCUCUCGGGUUGCUUUUAUAAGGCACUAAUCCCAUUCACAAGGGGUUUACCUCCCAAAGGCCUCAUCUCCUAAUACCAUCACAUUGAGGGUGAAGAUUUCAAAAAUACGAAUUUGCAGGAGACAGGGGUGGGGGUGAAUUCAUUGCACUGGCUCAG
RNAcentral lists this long non-coding RNA (2271 nucleotides) under Homo sapiens (human). RNAcentral's name for it is "HSALNT0308530". Lineage: Eukaryota; Metazoa; Chordata; Mammalia; Primates; Hominidae. The record is from RNAcentral.